GGCUCUCUGGCCAAGUGGUGACGGCAACAGACUAGAAAUCUGUUCCCUUUAAAGGGCGUAGGUUCGAAACCUACUAGCGUUG
Molecule: transfer RNA, 82 nt
Filed under: Amanita jacksonii TRTC168611
Lineage: Eukaryota; Fungi; Basidiomycota; Agaricomycetes; Agaricales; Amanitaceae
Description: tRNA-Ser (AGA) (tRNA-Ser-AGA-2-1)
Rfam family: tRNA
About the family: Transfer RNA (tRNA) molecules are approximately 80 nucleotides in length.
Source: RNAcentral